Molecule: ribosomal RNA, 1532 nt
Filed under: Streptococcus pneumoniae GA08825
Lineage: Bacteria; Bacillati; Bacillota; Bacilli; Lactobacillales; Streptococcaceae
Description: bacterial SSU rRNA
Rfam family: Bacterial small subunit ribosomal RNA
Source: RNAcentral
GAGUUUGAUCCUGGCUCAGGACGAACGCUGGCGGCGUGCCUAAUACAUGCAAGUAGAACGCUGAAGGAGGAGCUUGCUUCUCUGGAUGAGUUGCGAACGGGUGAGUAACGCGUAGGUAACCUGCCUGGUAGCGGGGGAUAACUAUUGGAAACGAUAGCUAAUACCGCAUAAGAGUGGAUGUUGCAUGACAUUUGCUUAAAAGGUGCACUUGCAUCACUACCAGAUGGACCUGCGUUGUAUUAGCUAGUUGGUGGGGUAAGGGCUCACCAAGGCGACGAUACAUAGCCGACCUGAGAGGGUGAUCGGCCACACUGGGACUGAGACACGGCCCAGACUCCUACGGGAGGCAGCAGUAGGGAAUCUUCGGCAAUGGACGGAAGUCUGACCGAGCAACGCCGCGUGAGUGAAGAAGGUUUUCGGAUCGUAAAGCUCUGUUGUAAGAGAAGAACGAGUGUGAGAGUGGAAAGUUCACACUGUGACGGUAUCUUACCAGAAAGGGACGGCUAACUACGUGCCAGCAGCCGCGGUAAUACGUAGGUCCCGAGCGUUGUCCGGAUUUAUUGGGCGUAAAGCGAGCGCAGGCGGUUAGAUAAGUCUGAAGUUAAAGGCUGUGGCUUAACCAUAGUAGGCUUUGGAAACUGUUUAACUUGAGUGCAAGAGGGGAGAGUGGAAUUCCAUGUGUAGCGGUGAAAUGCGUAGAUAUAUGGAGGAACACCGGUGGCGAAAGCGGCUCUCUGGCUUGUAACUGACGCUGAGGCUCGAAAGCGUGGGGAGCAAACAGGAUUAGAUACCCUGGUAGUCCACGCUGUAAACGAUGAGUGCUAGGUGUUAGACCCUUUCCGGGGUUUAGUGCCGUAGCUAACGCAUUAAGCACUCCGCCUGGGGAGUACGACCGCAAGGUUGAAACUCAAAGGAAUUGACGGGAGCCCGCACAAGCGGUGGAGAAUGUGGUUUAAUUCGAAGCAACGCGAAGAACCUUACCAGGUCUUGACAUCCCUCUGACCGCUCUAGAGAUAGAGUUUUCCUUCGGGACAGAGGUGACAGGUGGUGCAUGGUUGUCGUCAGCUCGUGUCGUGAGAUGUUGGGUUAAGUCCCGCAACGAGCGCAACCCCUAUUGUUAGUUGCCAUCAUUUAGUUGGGCACUCUAGCGAGACUGCCGGUAAUAAACCGGAGGAAGGUGGGGAUGACGUCAAAUCAUCAUGCCCCUUAUGACCUGGGCUACACACGUGCUACAAUGGCUGGUACAACGAGUCGCAAGCCGGUGACGGCAAGCUAAUCUCUUAAAGCCAGUCUCAGUUCGGAUUGUAGGCUGCAACUCGCCUACAUGAAGUCGGAAUCGCUAGUAAUCGCGGAUCAGCACGCCGCGGUGAAUACGUUCCCGGGCCUUGUACACACCGCCCGUCACACCACGAGAGUUUGUAACACCCGAAGUCGGUGAGGUAACCGUAAGGAGCCAGCCGCCUAAGGUGGGAUAGAUGAUUGGGGUGAAGUCGUAACAAGGUAGCCGUAUCGGAAGGUGCGGCUGGAUCACC